This 899-nucleotide long non-coding RNA is filed under the name Dasypus novemcinctus (nine-banded armadillo). RNAcentral describes it as "lncRNA (ENSDNOG00000052124.1)". Lineage: Eukaryota; Metazoa; Chordata; Mammalia; Cingulata; Dasypodidae. The record is from RNAcentral.
GGCGCCCUAUCGGGCCCGAGCCGAGUGGCCCCGCGGAGCCGGCGCGCUCCCGCCUGCAGGGGGAGGGCGAGACGGGGCGCUGGGACCGGCCAGGCCGCAGCGGGCGCUGUUUCUCUUUCACUUUCCUUCCCUCCGGGGUCGGCGCGCUGGCGGGUGAGGAGCGGCCGAGGCGGCGGCGGGGUCGGGACCGUGCGUUUCUGCUUUCAAAGGACUUUCUCUUACUUCGGAGCUUCGUGACUAACCCGUGGGAAAGCCAGGGCAGGUAAUCCCAACGUACAGAGGAGGAAUCCGAGACCCAGGUACGGAUAUUAAAUGACUUCCUGAAGGUCAUACAGGAUCGAAGACAAGAACCCAGUCCAGACCCCACCCCCCACCCCCAUUCCGUGUCAGUUACUAGGCCGUCAAUAUGAUUUCCCGAGCAGACGAGGUGAUUAUAGCCAGAUCACAUCCCAUACACAUUCUCAAUGGCUGUGCUUCGAUGGAAUGUUGCUUUUUACCCUUACAGUUGCUUUCUAAUUGUCUAUGAGUUCAACAGCUAAGUUAGGAGAAAAGUUCCUGUUCAUAGAAUGAACUUAAGAAAAUCAACACCUUCUUUCAUGUUGUGUUCUCAGAGAAGGGACACUCAUUGUAACCUUUAAAACUUUUUUAGUCACCUUAUGUACAAACCAGCUUUGCUAAAAGUUUCAGAAAAUGUUAGUGACAUUUAUUCCGUUAUGUGUAUUGUCUCAUUUAAUCCUAACUAUUUUAGGUGGUUGGCACUUUUAUUACUUCCAUUUUACAAUUUUUAAAAAAAUGCAGACUUAGAGAGGAUAGGUAAUAUUGCCCAGGUUAUAUAUCUACUAAAUGCUACUGGUUUCUAUAAAGGGUUUUGCAGUCUUAUACGGGAGAUAAAGAAUAAG